UACAGAGGGUGCGAGCGUUGUUCGGAAUUACUGGGCGUAAAGCGUGCGCAGGCGGUGAUGUAAGACAGGUGUGAAAUCCCCGGGCUUAACCUGGGAACUGCAUUUGUGACUGCAUCGCUGGAGUGCGGCAGAGGGGGAUGGAAUUCCGCGUGUAGCAGUGAAAUGCGUAGAUAUGCGGAGGAACACCGAUGGCGAAGGCAAUCCCCUGGGCCUGCACUGACGCUCAUGCACGAAAGCGUGGGGAGCAAACAGG
RNAcentral lists this ribosomal RNA (253 nucleotides) under uncultured bacterium. Its description in RNAcentral is "partial 16S ribosomal RNA". It matches the Rfam family "Bacterial small subunit ribosomal RNA", at positions 524 to 776 of the family's 1533-position model. The record is from RNAcentral.